This 630-nucleotide ribosomal RNA is filed under the name Suillus sp. SS1. RNAcentral describes it as "eukaryotic LSU rRNA". It matches the Rfam family "Eukaryotic large subunit ribosomal RNA", at positions 52 to 652 of the family's 3401-position model. The record is from RNAcentral. Lineage: Eukaryota; Fungi; Basidiomycota; Agaricomycetes; Boletales; Suillaceae.
GGAGGAAAAGAAACUAACAAGGAUUCCCCUAGUAACUGCGAGUGAACCGGGAAAAGCUCAAAUUUUGAAUCUGGCGGUCUUUACGGUCGUCCGAGUUGUAAUCUAGAGAAGCGUCUUCCGCGCUGGACCGUGUAUAAGUUUCCUGGAAUGGAACGUCGUAGAGGGUGACAAUCCCGUCUUUGACACGGACUCCCAGGGCUAUGUGAUGCGCUCUCGACGAGUCGAGUUGUUUGGGAAUGCAGCUCAAAUAGGGUGGUAAAUUCCAUCUAAAGCUAAAUACAGGCGAGAGACCGAUAGCGAACAAGUACCGUGAGGGAAAGAUGAAAAGAACUUUGGAAAGAGAGUUAAACAGUACGUGAAAUUGCUGAAAGGGAAACGCUUGAUGUCAGUCGCGUCGGCCGGGGAUCAGCCUUGCUCUUUUGCUCGGCGUACUUCCUGGUCGACGGGUCAGCAUCGGUUUCGAUCGUCGGAGAAUGGCUCGAGGAAUGUGGCACUCUUCGGAGUGUGUUAUAGACUCGGGUCGAAUACGACGCUCGGGACCGAGGAACUCAGCACGACCUUCACCGGUUCGGAGCUUCGGCUCACGUUAACGUGCUUAGGAUGCUGGCAUAAUGGCCUUAAGCGACCCGU